AUAACACCUCUUACGGACCCGUA
RNAcentral lists this non-coding RNA (23 nucleotides) under Arabidopsis thaliana (thale cress). Lineage: Eukaryota; Viridiplantae; Streptophyta; Magnoliopsida; Brassicales; Brassicaceae. The record is from RNAcentral.